Non-coding RNA from Benincasa hispida (wax gourd), 3776 nucleotides. The record is from RefSeq and is a predicted model, not a curated record. Lineage: Eukaryota; Viridiplantae; Streptophyta; Magnoliopsida; Cucurbitales; Cucurbitaceae.
AAGUUAAAGUUAACACACCACGAAACUGUAUACAUUCACCAUAAUCCAGAGCUUCAUCUUCGUCGUCUCCACUCUCCAUUCGCCAUCUUCGUUGUUCCAUGAAAUGUUGCAGACGCACUCUUCCUUUACCCUCAAACCCUUAACAGACCAAUCCCCUUCACCUUUCACUUUCUUCCCAUCUCACCUCCAUCCCACACUCAUUUCCCAUCCUCCUAAACCCUCCCGUUUUCUCCUCCGCUGCUCCGCCGUUGAUUCCGAAACCCUCCCCAAAUCCGCCAUCCAAAGAAUCGCCGACAAGCUUCGCAGUCUUGGCUUCACAGAGCAACCCCCCGAACCAGUGUCCAACCCUAAUUCACCCUCUACUCCUGGAGAAAUCUUUGUUCCUCUGCCGAAUCAGCUGCCCAAGCACCGGGUUGGGCACACGAUUGAUUCGAGCUGGAGUACACCUGAGAAUCCGAUUCCGGAACCAGGAACGGGGACUGCGAUUAAGAGGUUUCAUGAAUUGAGAGGUGAGGUGGAGAAGAGGAAGGAGGAUGUGGUGAGGCAGAAGAAGAGGGAGGAGAGAGCACCGACUCUGGCGGAGUUGAGCUUGCCUGAGGAGGAGUUGAGGAGACUUGGGGAAAUUGGGAUUAGGUUGAAGAAGAAGGUUAAGGUUGGGAAGGCUGGGAUUACGGAGGGGAUUGUUAACACCAUACACGAGCAAUGGAGGCGGUCUGAGGUUGUGAAGAUAGUGUGUGAAGAUUUGUGUAGGUUGAACAUGAAGCGGACCCAUGAUUUAUUGGAGAGAAAAACUGGAGGAAUUGUUGUUUGGAGAUCUGGAAGUAAAAUAAUAUUAUAUCGGGGACCCAAUUAUAUAUAUCCUUACUUCUCACAUGAAAUUUUGAAAAAUGAAUCAUCUCAAGGUGCUUUACCUUUAUAUAAUGAUGAUGGAGGGAAUAGUGAAACAGAGAGCAUUUCGUCCUGCAUCAAUAAUGAAAAAUCUGCUGGACCAACCUCAUCUGAUAAAAUGCCCGGUCCGACUCUAAUUCAAGGUGUUGGUGCUCCAAACAGAGUGAGAUUUCAACUGCCAGGUGAGGCAGAACUUGCAGAAGAUGCUGAGAGUUUGUUAGAAGGACUAGGUCCACGUUUUUCAGAUUGGUGGGGAUAUGAUCCUCUACCUGUUGAUGCGGAUCUCCUUCCUGCCAUUGUUCCUGGAUACCGUAAGCCUUUCCGUCUUCUCCCAUAUGGAGUGAAGCCUAAGCUAACUAAUGAUGAAAUGACCUCAUUAAGAAGACUUUCUAGGCCUUUGCCAUGCCAUUUUGCAUUGGGUCGUAAUAGGAACCUUCAAGGGCUUGCUGCUGCCAUUAUCCAGCUGUGGGAAAAAUGUGAGAUAGCUAAAAUUGCAGUUAAAAGAGGGGUGCAGAAUACAAAUAGUGAGUUGAUGGCUGAAGAGUUACAGUUGCUAACUGGAGGAACAUUGCUUUCCCGAGACAGGGAAUUCAUCGUCUUAUAUAGAGGAAAGGAUUUCCUGCCAUUUGCCGUUUCUUCUGCAAUAGAACAGCAAAGGUACAUUCGGUUACAUAAAAUGAAACAGAUGGAUAAUGCACCAGCUACAACGGUGCAGGAGCAAAAACUUGGGAUAAAUGAAAAUGGUCCCACAAAUGAAAGUCAGAGCAUCACGGAGUGGAAAAAGAUUAACUCUGAACAGAGAAAGCUGAUGUCAUCUGAGACAUCUAUGAGAAAGACUAGCAUCAAAUUGUCCAUUGCAUUAGAAAAAAAAGCAAAAGCAGAGGAACUUUUAGCGAAGCUGGAGGAAGCAGAGAUGCUCCAACAACCCGAAAUAGAUAAAGAGGGAAUCACUGUGGAGGAAAGGUAUAUGCUGAAGAAGAUCGGCUUGAGAAUGAAGCCUUUUCUACUUCUUGGUAGAAGGGGUGUUUUUGAUGGAACAGUUGAAAAUAUGCAUCUUCAUUGGAAGUAUAGGGAACUUGUAAAGAUAAUUACUAAUGAGAGAAGUUUCAAAACCGUUCAUGAUAUUGCACAAACCUUAGAGACAGAAAGUGGUGGAAUUUUAGUAGCAGUUGAGAGAGUGAACAGGAGUUAUGCUAUCAUCAUAUACCGGGGGAAGAAUUACAAACGGCCUGCACGUUUAAGGCCUGAGUCACUCUUGAAUAAAAAAGAGGCAUUGAAGCGAUCUAUUGAGGCACAACGUCGAAAGUCAUUGAAACUUCAUGUUUUAAAGCUUACACAAAAUGUAGAAGAAUUGAAACUUAAAUUGGAUAAAGACAAGGGAGCAAUUGCUAUGGAGUCAAUAAAGAAAUCAACGUCUCAGCAGGGAAAAGAAGGGAUAAACGAGAUGCAAACAACUGGAAGUUUGAAUGAUCCUGCCUGCCUCUCUCAUGCAGAAGAUAAUGCUUGUUUGGAGGAGAAUGAAGUGGUCAUGGUCAAUGGGGGUCAUGGGACUCAUGUGAGUGGAACUUUCUGUUUGGACACUUCAGCAAACAGUUUACAAGCCACUCAACGGGAUAAUGAUGUCUUUUCAAUAUAUGACGUUGACCAGAGUAAUGCCGAACUCAGAUCUUCAUUUGAAUCAGUUAGGCAAGGAAAACCUGCAAAGGUGUCCAUGGAUACCAAUGCUGAAUUUGGAAGUAUUGAACCUCUAUCUGGCGCUAAUUGUUUGAUGCUAGAAUUCCAGUCAGGAGAAAGUAGUUCUGAAACUUCAGAUGCCGUGCAUGAUGUUGCAUUGAAUGAGGAGAUGAAGCCAUCUGUUAGAUUAGAAGAGGGGAAUUCAUCACUAUUACUUUCCUCAAUGAGGACAAACCAACCUGGUCAUUUUCCUGCUAGCGCUCCUCAACUUUCCAACAAAGAGAGGCUUCUUCUGCGACGGCAAGCCCUCGAGAUGAAAAAACGUCCUGUGCUUGCUGUAGGCAAGAGCAACAUAAUUACAGGAGUUGCAAAAGCAAUCAAGGAACAUUUUAAGAAACAUUCUCUUGCUAUAGUUAAUGUCAAAGGCAGAGCCAAAGGAACAUCAGUCCAGGAGAUUGUUUUUAAGCUUGAGCAAGCAACUGGUGCAGUUCUAGUCUCUCAGGAGCCGAGCAAAGUUAUUCUUUACAGGGGUUGGGAGGAAGAAGAUAAAUCCCAAGAUGGCAAACAGAAUGCUACCAAGAUGGAAAACAAGGGUGAAGCUCAACUAUCUACGUGUCCUGAACUCUUGGCAGCUAUAAGGGUUGAAUGUGGACUGCGGUGAACUGAAAGUAAAAUCAGCUCCUCCAUGUGAAUUCUAGCUUCAGUCUCAGCUUGUAGGUAAGAUUUAACCAUAGAGUGUUAAAUUUUCUUUGGUUGACAUAUCAAAGCUGUUACUUGAAGAAUUUCUGACUGUUCGAUCUCAACCUCCAGAAAUCAACUGGCAUUUAUUUGGCCCGAGGUUCAUGGUAACAGUCGUUCGUAAUAGUGCAAGUAAUUUCUUCCUCCUCCCUUCCUCCUUUUUUUCGAGACGAAUGACGUGGGACGAUCCGACGAUAGGGCGAGUACGGAAUGACAAAAAUGACAAUGGCAGACUCAAUGAUGGAUUCAGAGCAAAUGAAUGGCAACGGCGUGCUUGGAACAAAUGCACGACAAUAGUAGACUUAGAAUAAAUGAACGGCGAGGAUGGACUCGAAAUAGAUGUACGGCGGGCCUGAUUCAACUUUUAGUUUUUUUUUUUCCUAUUAUAUAUACUCUGUGAUAUACAUGUACUUUUUUUAGUCUCGAUAGAAAAUUAAUAUAUACUGUGGUAUGUGUUUUUGUUUAUUUGACCUAAA